AGGGGCUCUGCCCGCCCGAGGAUGGGCCGGCGGCCGAUUAGGUAGUUGGUGGGGUAACGGCCCACCAAGCCCAUAAUCGGUACGGGCAGUGAGAGCUGGAGCCCGGAGAUGGACACUGAGACACGGGUCCAGGCCCUACGGGGCGCAGCAGGCGCGAAACCUCCGCAAUGCUCGAAAGAGCGACGGGGGGACCCCAAGUGCCGUGGUACAACCACGGCUUUUCCGGAGUGUAAGAAGCUCCGGGAAUAAGGGCUGGGCAAGGCCGGUGGCAGCCGCCGCGGUAAUACCGGCGGCCCGAGUGGUGGCCACUAUUAUUGGGCCUAAAGCGUCCGUAGCCGGGCUUGUAAGUCCCUGGCGAAAUCCCACGGCUCAACCGUGGGGCUUGCUGGGGAUACUGCAAGCCUUGGGACCGGGAGAGGCCGGGGGUACUCCUGGGGUAGGGGUGAAAUCCUAUAAUCCCAGGAGGACCGCCAGUGGCGAAGGCGCCCGGCUGGAACGGGUCCGACGGUGAGGGACGAAGGCCAGGGGAGCAAACCGGAUUAGAUACCCGGGUAGUCCUGGCUGUAAAGGAUGCGGGCUAGGUGUUGCUUGGACCUCGAGUCCAAGCAGUGCCGCAGGGAAGCCGUUAACCCGCCGCCUGGG
This 642-nucleotide ribosomal RNA is filed under the name uncultured archaeon. RNAcentral describes it as "bacterial SSU rRNA". It matches the Rfam family "Archaeal small subunit ribosomal RNA", at positions 187 to 832 of the family's 1478-position model. The record is from RNAcentral.